Molecule: ribosomal RNA, 467 nt
Filed under: uncultured bacterium
Lineage: Bacteria
Description: partial 16S ribosomal RNA
Rfam family: Bacterial small subunit ribosomal RNA
Source: RNAcentral
GACGAACGCUGGCGGCGUGCUUAACACAUGCAAGUCGAACGGAAAGGCCCUGCUUUUGUGGGGUGCUCGAGUGGCGAACGGGUGAGUACACGUGAGUAACCUGCCCUUGACUUUGGGAUAACUUCAGGAAACUGGGGCUAAUACCGGAUAGGAGCUCCUGCUGCAUGGUGGGGGUUGGAAAGUUUCGGCGGUUGGGGAUGGACUCGCGGCUUAUCAGCUUGUUGGUGGGGUAGUGGCUUACCAAGGCUUUGACGGGUAGCCGGCCUGAGAGGGUGACCGGCCACAUUGGGACUGAGAUACGGCCCAGACUCCUACGGGAGGCAGCAGUGGGGAAUAUUGCACAAUGGGCGGAAGCCUGAUGCAGCAACGCCGCGUGCGGGAUGACGGCCUUCGGGUUGCAAACCGCUUUCGCCUGUGACGAAGCGUGAGUGACGGUAAUGGGUAAAGAAGCACCGGCUAACUACGUG